AUACGGAGGGUGCAAGCGUUGCUCGGAAUUAUUGGGCGUAAAGAGCAUGUAGGCGGACUGUUAAGUCUGGUGUGAAAGCCCGGGGCUCAACCCCGGAAGUGCAUUGGAUACUGGCAGUCUUGAGUAUGGGAGAGGAAAGUGGAAUUCCGAGUGUAGGAGUGAAAUCCGUAGAUAUUCGGAGGAACACCAGUGGCGAAGGCGGCUUUCUGGACCAAUACUGACGCUGAGAUGCGAAAGCGUGGGGAGCGAACAGGAUUAGAAACCCUAGUAGUCC
RNAcentral lists this ribosomal RNA (274 nucleotides) under uncultured bacterium. RNAcentral describes it as "partial 16S ribosomal RNA". It matches the Rfam family "Bacterial small subunit ribosomal RNA", at positions 523 to 796 of the family's 1533-position model. The record is from RNAcentral.